This 484-nucleotide ribosomal RNA is filed under the name uncultured bacterium. Its description in RNAcentral is "partial 16S ribosomal RNA". It matches the Rfam family "Bacterial small subunit ribosomal RNA", at positions 30 to 507 of the family's 1533-position model. The record is from RNAcentral.
AUUGAACGCUGGCGGCAGGCCUAACACAUGCAAGUCGAGCGGAUGAAGGGAGCUUGCUCCUGGAUUCAGCGGCGGACGGGUGAGUAAUGCCUAGGAAUCUUCCUGGUAGUGGGGGAUAACGUCCGGAAACGGGCGCUAAUACCGCAUACGUCCUGAGGGAGAAAGUGGGGGAUCUUCGGACCUCACGCUAUCAGAUGAGCCUAGGUCGGAUUAGCUAAUUGGUGGGGUAAAGGCCUACCAAGGCGACGAUCCGUAACUGGUCUGAGAGGAUGAUCAGUCACAGUGGAACUGAGACACGGUCCAGACUGCUACGGGAGGCAGCAGUGGGGAAUAUUGGACAAUGGGCGAAAGCCUGAUCCAGCCAUGCCGCGUGUGUGAAGAAGGUCUUCGGAUUGUAAAGCACUUUAAGUUGGGAGGAAGGGCAGUAAGUUAAUACCUUGCUGUUUUGACGUUACCAACAGAAUAAGCACCGGCUAACUUCGUG